GAAAUGCGAUAAGUAGUGUGAAUUGCAGAAUUCAGUGAAUCAUCGAAUCUUUGAACGCACAUUGCGCUUCCUGGUAUUCCGGGGAGCAUGCCCGUUUCAGAAUCAUUAACAUCUCACAAAGCUAGCUAGAUGCUUUACGCAGAUUACUAGUAAUGUGGUUUUGGAUGCAUUUGUGCUUCUUUGCGCAAUCAUCAAAAAAUCAUUGUAUGUGCGCCAAUUUGGACAAAGGAUUGGUUAUCAACGUGCAACAGAGGUGUAAUACUCCAUUCAUGUUGAUAAUUAAAUUUUAUUACAGUUGACGUACAUUCUCUCUUUAAAAGCAACACCAAGCAGCAGAAUAUUCUGCUGUUUGAUAACUUGGUCUGAAAUCGGGCAAGAAAACCCGCUGAACUUAA
Molecule: unclassified non-coding RNA, 395 nt
Filed under: uncultured fungus
Lineage: Eukaryota; Fungi
Description: sequence contains ITS1
Rfam family: 5.8S ribosomal RNA (bases 1-105)
Source: RNAcentral